Molecule: ribosomal RNA, 667 nt
Filed under: Trebouxia sp. 1 LM-2014
Lineage: Eukaryota; Viridiplantae; Chlorophyta; Trebouxiophyceae; Trebouxiales; Trebouxiaceae
Description: eukaryotic LSU rRNA
Rfam family: 5.8S ribosomal RNA (bases 208-361)
Source: RNAcentral
AUCCUUUUGGUGUCAGUUGACUUGAUUGGGCGGGUCCAAUAUCAGCCGGAUUCCCCUUGAGAGACUUUGGGGAGGCCUGACGGUCUCACCCAAUGGCUUGGGGUUCUGCCGGCUGUGAGGGGUGGCGAUUAACUCACUUUAAGCAAUCAACUCUAAAGACAGCUCGAUUGGCUAGCAUUGCUGGCUGUAGACUGAACAAAUACAGACAACUCUCAACAACGGAUAUCUUGGCUCCCGUAACGAUGAAGAACGCAGCGAAAUGCGAUACGUAGUGUGAAUUGCAGAAUUCCGUGAACCAUCGAAUCUUUGAACGCAAAUUGCGCUCGAGGCUUCGGCCAAGAGCAUGUCUGCCUCAGCGUCGGCUACUACCCUCAACUAAGUUUCCUAUGAAAGACUAGGGGAUGCCAGUUGGAUAUGGCAGUCCGGUUUGCCUUUCAGGUUGCCGGUCAGCUGAAAUAUAUUCACGCUCUGGGGGCUGCUUUCCUUGAUAGGCUACUUUCAAGGGGAGGCGAGUUCCGAUUUGGUAGGUGACCUUUGCCGGUUACAUGCCUUCGUUGCUCGCUAAGCGUCCCAGUAGUCGUUGUGCAGGACGCCUUUUGGCUUUCGACCUGAGGUCAGGCAAGAACACCCGCUGAACUUAAGCAUAUCAAUAAGCGGAGGAAAAGAA